CUGCCCAUCCCGAGGCACAGCCGAACGUCUUUCCAGGGCACCUGCCAGCCACGCCUGGUCAGCCUGUGUACCUGGUGGGCUUCUGGCAGGCCCCGGGACUAGUGACGCCUCCGAGGGGCGAGUCAGGGCCAGGAGCUGCACAGCUCAGUGUCAUCUAAGGAGGAACAAUUCGGGGCCAACACACGUCUGUCCGGGGCUGAGCCGCUACGCCGAUGAGGAAGUGGUUACAGUUUACUCAGAUGUUCCUGAAGGCUGGCAGCUAGACUUCUGCCCAAAGGCCCGAGUGCUUGGCGACGAUGAGAAGCGGGCACCGAGCACAGGAUAAACGGUCCCUUCUUCCACCUGGACCCCGGGCUCCGGUCCCGCGCGGCCUUCGUCUCUGGACUCGUCGGAGUCCCUGGGAAGGGACUCCUGGGGACAAGCGUCUCUCCCAGCCCGCAGGAGAACCCCGUGCCGCGUGGUGCUGAGGCGCCUGGCACUUGGGGCGCGGGGACACCCGGAAAAUGGGAGAGUAACACCACCAGCCGGUCCGAGCCGACGAACAUUUGGGGGCUGUGUCAGCGCUGCUGUGGACAAAGUGGACAAUCGUGCACGAAUCUUAGUGUACGUAGAAGUUUCCAGUCCCCUCGCUCACCACCUAGCGGCGGCAUGGAGGACGCACGCGGGGGGCAUGUAUCCGAGUUCAUGAGGGACAAGACGGCUUUCCCGAGUGGCCGUGCCAGCCUGCAUUCCCGCCCGCAGCGCGGGAGCUGGUGUCUUGGUGUGUCAGUAAAAAUACCUGCCAACCUCGUACAGCAUGUGAACUGUUGUGGACGACAUCGCAGAACGCCUCCUCCGCUGGAAAGCCCCAGAGACACGGGGGGCUGGGGGCAGAGAGCGGGAGCGCAGAGAAAAUGCCCCUUGCCCAAAGGCGUGGCGGGGUCCGGGCACAGGCCUCCAGGGAGAUGGACCCCACUCUGGACCCCCAUCCGACUCCCGUGGGGCUCCUGAUGGACACACGAGGCCCUGGAAACGCCGAGCGAGGCCCCUCGCUGAGGACUCUGACCUCCGGCCGGUGGGGACAGGCCGGCUGGGGGGUUUCUGGCUUCCUCGUUUAUGGACGCAGGCUCCGGGCUCUGUCUAGGCCGAGGCUUAUGUUGGCCGACACGGACUCCUGCUCCACCGCGGGUAAGGCCCGCGCUAUCCUUUCCCCUCCCUGGGUCCCGGCUUGCUCAUCUGUAAAAUGGGGCAGCCGCCUCUUACUCUCAGCAGGACCAAACGAUGAAGGAAGUCAGGCCUCCUGCUCCCGCCCACCCCGCCCUGCAGUCCCUGCACUCAGCCAGACCUGCUCCUGGCCCUCCCUCCCUCCUUCCAGGAAGCCGGAAGGGCAGCCAAACCCACAGAGGAGUUCGCAGCCUCUGGCUCGGCUCGGCCCUGUGGAACCAACAGCCCUUUGUCUCCUCCUGGGGACCUUUCCAGAGAGGACUCAGCCCUUUGCCCCAAGGCCACCUCCGCCCCCUCCCCUGGCAUCACAGUAGCCCUACGGGGAGUCUCUCCGGGCCUCUCCAGGCUGCCCCUCACCCCUGCAACCUCCCUCAGCGGGCAG
Leopardus geoffroyi (Geoffroy's cat) is the source of this 1585-nucleotide long non-coding RNA. RefSeq lists it as uncharacterized. NCBI's taxonomy places the organism in Eukaryota, Metazoa, Chordata, Mammalia, Carnivora, Felidae. The record is from RefSeq and is a predicted model, not a curated record. The transcript is spliced from 4 exons.